Lolium rigidum is the source of this 301-nucleotide long non-coding RNA. RefSeq lists it as uncharacterized. The transcript has 3 exons. The record is from RefSeq and is a predicted model, not a curated record. NCBI's taxonomy places the organism in Eukaryota, Viridiplantae, Streptophyta, Magnoliopsida, Poales, Poaceae.
CCAGUAAUGUUGUGCUUGAUUAUAUAGAAGCCAUAAACAGAACACUAAUUGAUUCAGGUGUCACCAUCGUCGGAGAUAGCAGAACAGAUAGAAUCACCUCCUCUUUUGAUGCUGAUGCUGAAGAAACGUCACCAGAGAACCAUGUCUACAGGAAUAGGGAAGAGAAAUUAACAUACGAGCCCAUGUAAUGUGGUUGCAACCGAACAAAACAAACUCUUGGCUUCACUUACACCACCUUCACAUGCCUUGACAAAUUCUGAAAUAGAGAGUCCACACGUCAUCUUAGUUAGUAGUGAAGUAU